AGGGUUCGUUUGUCUACGGUUGGUUCGGCUUCUUCCGUUCGUCUUCUUCAUGGACUCGUUAUUCUUCCUUGCGGGAUUUCAGGCAAGAUGACCGCUAUCCUGGAUCUCACUACUAUCAUUGCUAUGCUAGUUGCUUCGCUCUAUCGCUAUGCUGCGUUACCUAUCUUUUGCUCUUCAAGCCAUCCCAAAUUGCCAUGAACCUCUAACCUUUGACACCAUUCCUAGCAAACCAUUGAUUGGCUAUGUUACCGCUUUGCUCAGCCCCUCUUAUAGCGUUGCUAGUUGCAGGUGAAGUUGAAGAUUGCUCCAUGGUGGACAGGGUUUAUGUUGGGAUAUCACAAUAUCUCUUAUAUUAUUAAUGCAUCUAUAUAUUUGGUAAAGGGUGGAAGGCUCGGCCUUAUGCCUGGUGUUUUGUUCCACUCUUGCCGCCCUAGUUUCCGUCAUACCGGUGUUAUGUUCCCGGAUUUUGCGUUCCUUACGCGGUCGAGUGAUUUAUGGGACCCCCCUGACAGUUCGCUUUGAAUAAAACUUGUCCAGCAAGGCCCAACAUUGGUUUUACCAUUUGCCUCACCACCACCUAUAUUUCCCUUGGGAGUAAUUAACCCAAGGGUCAUCUUUAUUCAGCCCCCCCGGGCCAAUGCUUGUCUAAGUGUUGGUCCAAACUAGAGCCACUUGCAGCGCCACCUCGGGGAAACUUGAGGGCUGGUUCUAGUUGUACGUACUGCUCAUCCGGUCGUGGCCUGAGACGAGAUACGCGCGGCUACUAUCAGGAUGUCGGCACGCCGGGAGGUCUUGCUGGUCUUGUUUUACCAUUGUCAAAAUGUCUUGAUGUACCGGGAUACCGAGUCUGAUCGGAGUGUCUCGGGUGAAGGUCUAUUCCUUCGAUGAUCGCGAGAGCUUGUCAUGGGCUAAGUUGGGACACCCCUGCAGGGUAUAAACUUUCGAGAGCCGUGCCCGCGGUUAUGUGGCAGAUGGGAGUUUGUUAAUGUCCGGUUGUAGAUAACUUGACACCAGAUCCGAAUUAAAACGCAUCAACCGCGUGUGUAGCCGUGAUGGUCUCUUCUCGGCGGAGUCCGGGAAGUGAACACGGUUUCUAUGUUAUGUUUGACGUAAGUAGGUGUUCAGGAUCACCUCUUGAUCAUUGCUAGCUUCACGACCGUUCCGCUUGUUUCUCUUCUCGCUCUCAUUUACGUAUGUUAGCCACCAUAUCAUGCUUAGUCGCUGCUGCAACCUCACCACUUUACCCCUUCCUUACCCAUUAAGCUUUGCUAGUCUUGAUACCCAUGGUAAUGGGAUUGCUGAGUCCUCGUGACUCACCAGAUACUUCCAAAACCAGUUUGCAGGUGCCUAUGUUACCGAGCAGGUGACGCAAUCAAGCUCAAGGAGGAGCUCGAUGAAGAUCUUACCCUUUGUGUUGUUUCGUUCUAGUUGAUCAGUAGUGGAGCCCAGUUGGGGUCGAUCGGGGACUUUUGUCGCAUUUGGGGUUCUUCUUUUAUUUUGGUUCCGUAGUCGGACCUUGAUUGUAUCUGGAUGAUGUA
This 1538-nucleotide long non-coding RNA is filed under the name Triticum aestivum (bread wheat). Its description in RNAcentral is "long non-coding RNA (TAES_LNC027619)". Lineage: Eukaryota; Viridiplantae; Streptophyta; Magnoliopsida; Poales; Poaceae. The record is from RNAcentral.